This 599-nucleotide ribosomal RNA is filed under the name Escherichia coli. Its description in RNAcentral is "bacterial SSU rRNA". It matches the Rfam family "Bacterial small subunit ribosomal RNA", at positions 71 to 663 of the family's 1533-position model. Lineage: Bacteria; Pseudomonadati; Pseudomonadota; Gammaproteobacteria; Enterobacterales; Enterobacteriaceae. The record is from RNAcentral.
GGAAGCAGCUUGCUGCUUUGCUGACGAGUGGCGGACGGGUGAGUAAUGUCUGGGAAACUGCCUGAUGGAGGGGGAUAACUACUGGAAACGGUAGCUAAUACCGCAUAACGUCGCAAGACCAAAGAGGGGGACCUUCGGGCCUCUUGCCAUCGGAUGUGCCCAGAUGGGAUUAGCUAGUAGGUGGGGUAACGGCUCACCUAGGCGACGAUCCCUAGCUGGUCUGAGAGGAUGACCAGCCACACUGGAACUGAGACACGGUCCAGACUCCUACGGGAGGCAGCAGUGGGGAAUAUUGCACAAUGGGCGCAAGCCUGAUGCAGCCAUGCCGCGUGUAUGAAGAAGGCCUUCGGGUUGUAAAGUACUUUCAGCGGGGAGGAAGGGAGUAAAGUUAAUACCUUUGCUCAUUGACGUUACCCGCAGAAGAAGCACCGGCUAACUCCGUGCCAGCAGCCGCGGUAAUACGGAGGGUGCAAGCGUUAAUCGGAAUUACUGGGCGUAAAGCGCACGCAGGCGGUUUGUUAAGUCAGAUGUGAAAUCCCCGGGCUCAACCUGGGAACUGCAUCUGAUACUGGCAAGCUUGAGUCUCGUAGAGGGGGGUA